UACGUAGGUGGCAAGCGUUGUCCGGAAUUAUUGGGCGUAAAGCGCGCGCAGGCGGUUCCUUAAGUCUGUUGUGAAAGCCCCCGGCUCAACCGGGGAGGGUCAUUGGAAACUGGGGAACUUGAGUGCAGAAGAGAAGAGCGGAAUUCCACGUGUAGCGGUGAAAUGCGUAGAGAUGUGGAGGAACACCAGUGGCGAAGGCGGCUCUUUGGUCUGUAACUGACGCUGAGGCGCGAAAGCGUGGGGAGCAAACAGG
Molecule: ribosomal RNA, 253 nt
Filed under: uncultured bacterium
Lineage: Bacteria
Description: partial 16S ribosomal RNA
Rfam family: Bacterial small subunit ribosomal RNA
Source: RNAcentral